GCGGGUGUAGUUCAGUGGUAGAACGGUAGCCUUCCAAGCUACACACGGCAGUUCGAUUCUGCUCACCCGCUCCA
Molecule: transfer RNA, 74 nt
Filed under: Candidatus Omnitrophota bacterium
Lineage: Bacteria; Pseudomonadati; Candidatus Omnitrophota
Also listed under: 1 other name
Description: tRNA-Gly
Rfam family: tRNA
About the family: Transfer RNA (tRNA) molecules are approximately 80 nucleotides in length. Their secondary structure includes four short double-helical elements and three loops (D, anti-codon, and T loops).
Source: RNAcentral